Non-coding RNA from Gossypium hirsutum (cotton), 757 nucleotides. The record is from Rfam. NCBI's taxonomy places the organism in Eukaryota, Viridiplantae, Streptophyta, Magnoliopsida, Malvales, Malvaceae.
UACUCAUCAGAUUCGUGGUCCUGAAGUCACUGUUUCGACUAGACCCAAAAUCGGGCUGUUACAGUAAUGUCGCAAGGAUGAAACUUAAAAGAUUUGACAGAAGGGCACCACCUUGAGUGGUGUCUAUAACUUAAUUUGAUUCAACACAGGAAAAUUUACCUGGUCCAGCUAUAGGAAGGAUUGAAAAACUGUGAGCUCUUUCUUGAUUCUAUAAGUGGUGGUGCAUGGCCAUUCUUAGUUGGUGGAGCGGUUUGUCUGGUUAAUUUCAUUAUAAAAUGAGUCCUCAGCCUACUAACUAGGUACACGGAGGUGAUCCUCCAUAUCUAGCUUCUUAAAAAGACUAUGGCUUUUUAGGCUAUGGAAGUUUAAGGCAAUAACAGGUCUGUGAUGCCCUUGGAUGUUUUAGGUCGGAUGUCCACUACACUGAUGUAUUCAACGAGUCUAUAGCCUUGGCCGAUAGGCUUAGGUAAUCUUUGAAAUUUCAUCAUGAUGGAGAUAGAUCAUUGCAAUUCUUGGUUUUUAAUGAGGAAUUCCUAGUAAGCUCGAGUCAUCAGCUCGUGUUGACUACGAGCCUGCCCUUUUUACACACCGCUUGUUCACUCUUACCGAUUGAAUGGUCCAGUGAAGUGUUCUCAUCGUGACGAUGUGGGCAGUUCGUUGCUCAUGUCGUUGCAAGAAGUCCACUGAACCUUAUUAUUUAAAGGAAGGAGAAGUCGUAAAAAAAGUUUCGGUAAGUGAACCUACAGAAGGAUCACUG